GCCUUCUGGCAUUGUAAGUCGCUCUGGAUAAGAGUGUCUGCUAAAUGACUUAAA
Non-coding RNA from Salmo salar (Atlantic salmon), 54 nucleotides. NCBI's taxonomy places the organism in Eukaryota, Metazoa, Chordata, Actinopteri, Salmoniformes, Salmonidae. The record is from Rfam.